This 843-nucleotide ribosomal RNA is filed under the name Staphylococcus aureus. Its description in RNAcentral is "partial 23S ribosomal RNA". It matches the Rfam family "Bacterial large subunit ribosomal RNA", at positions 390 to 1240 of the family's 2925-position model. The record is from RNAcentral. Lineage: Bacteria; Bacillati; Bacillota; Bacilli; Caryophanales; Staphylococcaceae.
GUCUCUCUUGAGUGGAUCCUGAGUACGACGGAGCACGUGAAAUUCCGUCGGAAUCUGGGAGGACCAUCUCCUAAGGCUAAAUACUCUCUAGUGACCGAUAGUGAACCAGUACCGUGAGGGAAAGGUGAAAAGCACCCCGGAAGGGGAGUGAAAUAGAACCUGAAACCGUGUGCUUACAAGUAGUCAGAGCCCGUUAAUGGGUGAUGGCGUGCCUUUUGUAGAAUGAACCGGCGAGUUACGAUUUGAUGCAAGGUUAAGCAGUAAAUGUGGAGCCGUAGCGAAAGCGAGUCUGAAUAGGGCGUUUAGUAUUUGGUCGUAGACCCGAAACCAGGUGAUCUACCCUUGGUCAGGUUGAAGUUCAGGUAACACUGAAUGGAGGACCGAACCGACUUACGUUGAAAAGUGAGCGGAUGAACUGAGGGUAGCGGAGAAAUUCCAAUCGAACCUGGAGAUAGCUGGUUCUCUCCGAAAUAGCUUUAGGGCUAGCCUCAAGUGAUGAUUAUUGGAGGUAGAGCACUGUUUGGACGAGGGGCCCCUCUCGGGUUACCGAAUUCAGACAAACUCCGAAUGCCAAUUAAUUUAACUUGGGAGUCAGAACAUGGGUGAUAAGGUCCGUGUUCGAAAGGGAAACAGCCCAGACCACCAGCUAAGGUCCCAAAAUAUAUGUUAAGUGGAAAAGGAUGUGGCGUUGCCCAGACAACUAGGAUGUUGGCUUAGAAGCAGCCAUCAUUUAAAGAGUGCGUAAUAGCUCACUAGUCGAGUGACACUGCGCCGAAAAUGUACCGGGGCUAAACAUAUUACCGAAGCUGUGGAUUGUCCUUUGGACAAUGGUAGGAGAGCGUU